RNAcentral lists this unclassified non-coding RNA (430 nucleotides) under soil metagenome. Its description in RNAcentral is "partial contains 5.8S ribosomal RNA, internal transcribed spacer 2, and large subunit ribosomal RNA". The stretch from base 1 to 120 matches the Rfam family "5.8S ribosomal RNA", at positions 35 to 154 of the family's 154-position model. The record is from RNAcentral.
GAUGAAGAACGUAGCGAAAUGCGAUACGUAAUGUGAAUUGCAGAAUUCAGUGAAUCAUCGAAUCUUUGAACGCAUAUUACGCUCUCUGGUAUUCCGGAGAGCAUGCUUGUUUGAGUAUCAGUAAACACCUCAACUCCCUUUUCUUUUUUGAAAUUGGAGCUGGACUUGAGUGAUCCCAACGCUUUCUUCCAAGAAAGUGGCGGGUUGCUUGAAAUGCAGGUGCAGCUGAACUUUUCUCUGAGCUAUAAGCAUAUCUAUUUAGUCUGCCUAAAAAACAGAUUAUUACCUUUGCUGCAGCUAACAUAAAGGAGACUAGUUCUUGUGCUGACUGAUGCAGGAUUCACAGAGACAGCUUCGGCUGACUUUGUAAACUCGAUCUCAAAUCAAGUAAGACUACCCGCUGAACUUAAGCAUAUCAAUAAGCGGAGGA